This 882-nucleotide long non-coding RNA is filed under the name Eutrema salsugineum. RNAcentral describes it as "long non-coding RNA (ESAL_LNC000503)". Lineage: Eukaryota; Viridiplantae; Streptophyta; Magnoliopsida; Brassicales; Brassicaceae. The record is from RNAcentral.
AAAGACAAGGAAACUGUCUCUCUCAUUCCUGGAAGAGGAUUCUUUAACUACAUCAUCAACAAUCAUGGACUGCCCCAACCAAAGAAUGUGUUUUUGCCAAUACCAACAAAGGACGUAUUGUACAAGCCUAGUUUGUAUCAUCAGUUGUUCCAAGAUAUCUCUCUAUAUCUUUCUAGAAACAAACUUAAAAACCUAGAUUAACCACCAAAUGGAAGAGAAGCAAAGUCAGGAGAGUCGAGAGAUACUUGUUCUCCAACAAUUUCUUCAUCACAACUCACAAGGCAACAAAGUUAACUAAAUACUUUAACCAAACAUUGUAUUGGAGGUAACUAUCUAUAUUUCUUUUGAGUCUAGUUUAUUCUACUUAUCUUUUUAUCUUUUUAGGAUCAAAUGAAGAGAUAUGAAGGCAACAAACAAACAAAUGAAAACCGAUAUACAAAGAUGAUCAAAAGAUGGAGUUGUCACUAGUCGAGCACUAGAUCGGCCACUUCACUUUCUUUGCCAAGGGAUUGACAUUCCUCUGUUUAAGCGACUUUCAAGUCUUUAACACACCAUCCACCUUCCCAGUUUUUUUUUUAUUACUUAAAUCUGAUUGUUUGGAGAGGGGCCCAUGGUAUGGUUUCUAAUUGGGCUUAGGAAAAAGGAACCUGUUGCUAAGUGGAAAUUGAAAUCAGGUUUGAGGCUUAUAUAUACAAAAGUGUUUGGGGUUUAUAUAAUAUAAAGGAGAAUUAGUUUUAUAAUGUUAAUUGAAUUAGCUAUUGUCCCCUUAAUUACCCUUUUAAAUCAGUUAUGAAAAUAAUAAUUAAAAUUAAAUUUGAAACUAUUGUUUAGAAAAAUCUAAAAUUCUAAAACUGGAAAUAAAAAUAUUUCCGGAUAUCAUUU